This 401-nucleotide unclassified non-coding RNA is filed under the name soil metagenome. RNAcentral's name for it is "partial contains 5.8S ribosomal RNA, internal transcribed spacer 2, and large subunit ribosomal RNA". The stretch from base 1 to 121 matches the Rfam family "5.8S ribosomal RNA", at positions 35 to 154 of the family's 154-position model. The record is from RNAcentral.
GAUGAAGAACGCAGUGAAAUGCGAUAAGUAAUGUGAAUUGCAGAAUUCAGUGAAUCAUCGAAUCUUUGAACGCACCUUGCGCCCCUUGGUUAUUCCAAAGGGCAUGCCUGUUUGAGUAUCAUGAACACCUCAACUCUUGUGGUUUCCCACAAUGAGCUUGGACUGUGGAGGUUUUGUUGGCCCUGUGGUCAGCUCCUCUCAAAUGGAUCAGCUUACCGGUGUUUGGUGGCAUUACGGGUGUGAUAACUAUCUACGCUCGUGGUCGUCUCCAAAUAACCUCCAGUGAUGGAGGUUCGCUGGAGCUUAUAAAUGUCUCUCCCCAGUGAAGACAGCCUUUGAACGUUCGAUCUCAAAUCAGGUAGGACUACCCGCUGAACUUAAGCAUAUCAAUAACCGGAGGA